AAACAGCUUGAAAGUCCUGGGUC
RNAcentral lists this non-coding RNA (23 nucleotides) under Rattus norvegicus (Norway rat). The record is from RNAcentral. Lineage: Eukaryota; Metazoa; Chordata; Mammalia; Rodentia; Muridae.